This 497-nucleotide ribosomal RNA is filed under the name uncultured bacterium. RNAcentral's name for it is "partial 16S ribosomal RNA". It matches the Rfam family "Bacterial small subunit ribosomal RNA", at positions 899 to 1397 of the family's 1533-position model. The record is from RNAcentral.
ACUCAAAGGAAUUGACGGGGGCCCGCACAAGCGGUGGAGCAUGUGGCUUAAUUCGAUGCAACGCGAAGAACCUUACCAGGGCUUGACAUGGAUCUGCAAGCACCCGAAAUGGUGUCGCCUUCGAGGGUGAUCCACAGGUGGUGCAUGGCUGUCGUCAGCUCGUGUUGUGAAAUGUUGGGUUAAGUCCCGCAACGAGCGCAACCCUCAUGUUUUGUUACCAGCACGUCAAGGUGGGAACUCGAGACAAACUGCCUCUGUAAAGAGGAGGAAGGUGGGGAUGACGUCAAGUCAUCAUGCCCCUUACGCCCUGGGCUGCACACAUGCUACAAUGGCCGGUACAAAGAGUUGCUAAACCGCGAGGUGGAGCUAAUCUCAAAAAGCCGGUCUCAGUUCGGAUUGGAGGCUGCAACUCGCCUCCAUGAAGUCGGAAUCGCUAGUAACCGCCGGUCAGCAAUACGGCGGUGAAUACGUUCCCGGGCCUUGCACACACCGCCCGU